RNAcentral lists this ribosomal RNA (193 nucleotides) under uncultured bacterium. Its description in RNAcentral is "partial 16S ribosomal RNA". It matches the Rfam family "Bacterial small subunit ribosomal RNA", at positions 338 to 524 of the family's 1533-position model. The record is from RNAcentral.
CCUACGGGAGGCAGCAGUUUCGAAUUAUUCACAAUGGGCGAAAGCCUGAUGGUGCGACGCCGCGUGAGGGAUGAAGGUCUUCGGAUUGUAAACCUCUGUCACCGGGGAAGAAACGCUUUGAGUUAAUAGUUCAAAGCCUGACUUAACCCGGAGAGGAAGCAGUGGCUAACUCUGUGCCAGCAGCCGCGGUAAU